RNAcentral lists this ribosomal RNA (427 nucleotides) under uncultured bacterium. RNAcentral describes it as "partial 16S ribosomal RNA". It matches the Rfam family "Bacterial small subunit ribosomal RNA", at positions 355 to 774 of the family's 1533-position model. The record is from RNAcentral.
UGGGGUAUAUUGCACAAUGGGCGCAAGCCUGAUGCAGCCAUGCCGCGUGUAUGAAGAAGGCCUUCGGGUUGUAAAGUACUUUCAGCGGGGAGGAAGGCGAUAAGGUUAAUAACCUUGUCGAUUGACGUUACCCGCAGAAGAAGCACCGGCUAACUCCGUGCCAGCAGCCGCGGUAAUACGGAGGGUGCAAGCGUUAAUCGGAAUUACUGGGCGUAAAGCGCACGCAGGCGGUCUGUCAAGUCGGAUGUGAAAUCCCCGGGCUCAACCUGGGAACUGCAUUCGAAACUGGCAGGCUAGAGUCUUGUAGAGGGGGGUAGAAUUCCAGGUGUAGCGGUGAAAUGCGUAGAGAUCUGGAGGAAUACCGGUGGCGAAGGCGGCCCCCUGGACAAAGACUGACGCUCAGGUGCGAAAGCGUGGGGAGCAAACA